Small nuclear RNA from Hippopotamus amphibius kiboko, 104 nucleotides. Lineage: Eukaryota; Metazoa; Chordata; Mammalia; Artiodactyla; Hippopotamidae. The record is from RefSeq and is a predicted model, not a curated record.
GUGCUUCCUUCAGUAGCACAUAUGCUAAAAGUGGAACAAUACAGAGAUUAACAUGCUCCUUGAGCUAGGACAAUGUGCAAAUUUGUGGUGUGUUUGAUAUUUAA